Molecule: ribosomal RNA, 2894 nt
Filed under: Acinetobacter baumannii
Lineage: Bacteria; Pseudomonadati; Pseudomonadota; Gammaproteobacteria; Moraxellales; Moraxellaceae
Description: 23S ribosomal RNA
Rfam family: Bacterial large subunit ribosomal RNA
Source: RNAcentral
AGUCAAGUAAUUAAGUGCAUGUGGUGGAUGCCUUGGCAGUCAGAGGCGAUGAAAGACGUGAUAGCCUGCGAAAAGCUCCGGGGAGGCGGCAAAUAUCCUUUGAUCCGGAGAUGUCUGAAUGGGGGAACCCACCUACUUUAAGGUAGGUAUUGCAACAUGAAUACCAUAGUGUUGCAAGGCGAACGAGGGGAAGUGAAACAUCUCAGUACCCUUAGGAAAAGAAAUCAAUUGAGAUUCCCUCAGUAGCGGCGAGCGAACGGGGAUCAGCCCAUUAAGUUAUGUGUGUUUUAGUGGAACGCUCUGGGAAGUGCGAACGUAGAGGGUGAUAUUCCCGUACACGAAAGGGCACACAUAAUGAUGACGAGUAGGGCGAGGCACGUGAAACCUUGUCUGAAUAUGGGGGGACCAUCCUCCAAGGCUAAAUACUCCUGACUGACCGAUAGUGAACCAGUACCGUGAGGGAAAGGCGAAAAGAACCCCUGUGAGGGGAGUGAAAUAGAUCCUGAAACCGCAUGCAUACAAGCAGUGGGAGCACCUUCGUGGUGUGACUGCGUACCUUUUGUAUAAUGGGUCAGCGACUUAUAUUCAGUAGCGAGGUUAACCGUAUAGGGGAGCCGUAGAGAAAUCGAGUCUUAAUAGGGCGUUUAGUUGCUGGGUAUAGACCCGAAACCAGGCGAUCUAUCCAUGAGCAGGUUGAAGGUUGGGUAACACUAACUGGAGGACCGAACCCACUGUCGUUGAAAAGCCAGGGGAUGACUUGUGGAUAGGGGUGAAAGGCUAAUCAAGCCUGGUGAUAGCUGGUUCUCCCCGAAAGCUAUUUAGGUAGCGCCUCGGACGAAUACCAUAGGGGGUAGAGCACUGUUUCGGCUAGGGGGUCAUCCCGACUUACCAAACCGAUGCAAACUCCGAAUACCUAUGAGUACUAUCCGGGAGACAGACUGCGGGUGCUAACGUCCGUAGUCAAGAGGAAAACAAUCCAGACCGCCAGCUAAGGCCCCAAAAUCAUAGUUAAGUGGGAAACGAUGUGGGAAGGCAUAGACAGCUAGGAGGUUGGCUUAGAAGCAGCCACCCUUUAAAGAAAGCGUAAUAGCUCACUAGUCGAGUCGGCCUGCGCGGAAGAUGUAACGGGGCUAAAACUAUGUGCCGAAGCUGCGGAUGUAUACUUUGUAUACGUGGUAGGGGAGCGUUCUGUAAGCCGAUGAAGGUGUGUUGAGAAGCAUGCUGGAGGUAUCAGAAGUGCGAAUGCUGACGUGAGUAACGACAAAACGGGUGAAAAACCCGUUCGCCGAAAGACCAAGGGUUCCAGUCCAACGUUAAUCGGGGCUGGGUGAGUCGACCCCUAAGGCGAGGCCGAAAGGCGUAGUCGAUGGGAAAAUGGUUAAUAUUCCAUUACUUCUGUGUAAUGCGAUGAGAGGACGGAGAAGGCUAAAUCAGCCUGGCGUUGGUUGUCCAGGUGAAAGGAUGUAGGCAUGUAUCUUAGGCAAAUCCGGGGUACUCUAUGCUGAGAUCUGAUAGCAAGCUGUACUUGUACAGCGAAGUGGUUGAUGCCAUGCUUCCAGGAAAAGUCUCUAAGCUUCAGUUACACAGGAAUCGUACCCGAAACCGACACAGGUGGUCAGGUCGAGUAGACCAAGGCGCUUGAGAGAACUCUGCUGAAGGAACUAGGCAAAAUGGUACCGUAACUUCGGGAGAAGGUACGCUGUUGUUGGUGAUGGAACUCGCUUCCUGAGCUGACGACAGCCGCAGAAACCAGGCCGCUGCAACUGUUUAUUAAAAACAUAGCACUCUGCAAACACGAAAGUGGACGUAUAGGGUGUGAUGCCUGCCCGGUGCUGGAAGGUUAAUUGAUGGGGUUAGCGUAAGCGAAGCUCUUGAUCGAAGCCCCAGUAAACGGCGGCCGUAACUAUAACGGUCCUAAGGUAGCGAAAUUCCUUGUCGGGUAAGUUCCGACCUGCACGAAUGGCAUAAUGAUGGCGGCGCUGUCUCCAGCAGAGGCUCAGUGAAAUCGAAAUCGCUGUGAAGAUGCAGUGUACCCGCGGCUAGACGGAAAGACCCCGUGAACCUUUACUGCAGCUUGACACUGAACUUUGACCUUACUUGUGUAGGAUAGGUGGGAGGCUUUGAAGCUGGAACGCUAGUUCCAGUGGAGCCGUCCUUGAAAUACCACCCUGGUAAUGUUGAGGUUCUAACUCUGUCCCGUGAUCCGGGACGAGGACCGUGUCUGGUGGGUAGUUUGACUGGGGCGGUCUCCUCCUAAAGAGUAACGGAGGAGUACGAAGGUGCGCUCAGCGUGGUCGGAAAUCACGCGUAGAGUAUAAAGGCAAAAGCGCGCUUAACUGCGAGACCCACAAGUCGAGCAGGUACGAAAGUAGGUCUUAGUGAUCCGGUGGUUCUGUAUGGAAGGGCCAUCGCUCAACGGAUAAAAGGUACUCUGGGGAUAACAGGCUGAUACCGCCCAAGAGUUCAUAUCGACGGCGGUGUUUGGCACCUCGAUGUCGGCUCAUCUCAUCCUGGGGCUGAAGCAGGUCCCAAGGGUAUGGCUGUUCGCCAUUUAAAGAGGUACGCGAGCUGGGUUUAGAACGUCGUGAGACAGUUCGGUCCCUAUCUACCGUGGGCGCUGGAAAUUUGAGAGGAUCUGCUCCUAGUACGAGAGGACCAGAGUGGACGAACCUCUGGUGUACCGGUUGUGACGCCAGUCGCAUCGCCGGGUAGCUAUGUUCGGAAGGGAUAACCGCUGAAAGCAUCUAAGCGGGAAGCCUACCUCAAGAUAAGAUUUCCCUAGGACUUUAUGUCCUCUAAAGAGCCGUUCGAGACUAGGACGUUGAUAGGUUGGAUGUGGAAGCAUAGUGAUAUGUGAAGCUGACCAAUACUAAUUGCUCGUGAGGCUUGACUAU